GUGGGGAAUAUUGGACAAUGGGCGCAAGCCUGAUCCAGCCAUGCCGCGUGAGUGAUGAAGGCCUUAGGGUUGUAAAGCUCUUUCAGUGGGGACGAUAAUGACGGUACCCACAGAAGAAGCCCCGGCUAACUUCGUGCCAGCAGCCGCGGUAAUACGAAGGGGGCUAGCGUUGUUCGGAUUUACUGGGCGUAAAGCGCACGUAGGCGGAUCGUUAAGUCGGGGGUGAAAUCCUGGAGCUCAACUCCAGAACUGCCUUCGAUACUGGAGAUCUUGAGUCCGGAAGAGGUGAGUGGAACUCCUAGUGUAGAGGUGGAAUUCGUAGAUAUUAGGAAGAACACCAGUGGCGAAGGCGGCUCACUGGUCCGGUACUGACGCUGAGGUGCGAAAGCGUGGGGAGCAAACAGGAUUAGAAACCCCGGUAGUCC
RNAcentral lists this ribosomal RNA (425 nucleotides) under uncultured bacterium. RNAcentral describes it as "bacterial SSU rRNA". It matches the Rfam family "Bacterial small subunit ribosomal RNA", at positions 354 to 796 of the family's 1533-position model. The record is from RNAcentral.